GGAAGAGGAGGGGGGUGAGGAAGAGGGGGGGUGAGGAAGAGGAGAGGGGGAACAGGAGUUGCUGGUAGGGGAAGGGGAACAGAAUAGCCUGUAUUUAUGAUACUCCUGUCCAAGGCUGUGUACCAUACGGCACUUUGAAACAAAAAAUCCUGACGUGUUCUGUACCGUUGUCCCAAAAUCAAAGCUUCAGUCUCUUUUGGUUAGUCUACAUGCUCCUUUUAGUCUGUCGGGGUGUAACACUGUGUGACGAACCACUGCAGAGGCCAGACUGUCAGUGCUGCGUGACGAACCACUGCAGAGGCCAGACUGUCAGUGCUGCGUGACGAACCACUGCAGAGGCCAGACUGUCAACGCACUUGAUAUCUCAUGCAGAUGGCUGUAUGGACAUGUUUGUUUACUGAAGUAAUAAUAAAUAAAAAACUCGCUCUGAA
Molecule: long non-coding RNA, 431 nt
Organism: Oncorhynchus masou masou (cherry salmon)
Lineage: Eukaryota; Metazoa; Chordata; Actinopteri; Salmoniformes; Salmonidae
Exons: 2
Source: RefSeq, a predicted model, not a curated record